Molecule: long non-coding RNA, 1888 nt
Organism: Cyprinus carpio (common carp)
Lineage: Eukaryota; Metazoa; Chordata; Actinopteri; Cypriniformes; Cyprinidae
Source: Ensembl
GUUUGGCUGGUUUCUGGUGUAGAGAAGGCUCCCAUUCACCCAGUCCUAUGGAUGGUCCUACAGUGGCUGUUUGUCCAGUUGGUCACUAUUGUCCAAAAGGUAUUUCAGUAAUUUCACUCACUAAAAUCAGCCUUUAUUAGGCCUGUCUUAUGAGAUAUUUUGUACUAAGGAUGACACAGUUUAAUAAUAGGGAUGUACUGCUAUUAAAAUUCUGGCUGAUACAGAUUUCAUAAUUUUAUAUAUAUUUUUAUUAUAUUUUUUAAUAUAAUAAAAACAGUACAGGACUAAGGAGUGCUGAGGAGUGCCAGUCAUGCCCUGGAGGGUUUAACUGUGCCUCUACUGGUCUGACUGAACCAUGUGGACUCUGCUCUGAUGGGUAUGUGCCAAGUAAUACAUACACUGUAAUUGCAUUACUGACUGGAUUAACCUUUGGCAUCAUACAGUACUGUAUGUCCCUGAAAGGUUUUAUUGUGCCGAGAAAGCUGAGACUCCUACUCCUAUUGAUGGAGUCUCUGGCCACAUCUGCCCAGAGGGUCAUUAUUGUCCUCCAGGAACCACUCGCCCUGUGCCAUGUGAUCCUGGGACUUUUGUAACCAUCACUCAGGCCUCUCAGUGGUACUGUGUGGAUAGAGCCCGGCUGCUGUGCCCAGAUGGUUUCUACUGUCUUGAAGGCACAGGGUAUGACCGGAGACCUUGUCCAGCAGGGACAUACAGCCCUGACUCUGGUUUGAGUGUCCUCUCUGAGUGUAGAGAAUGUGAUGGAGGACACUACUACUCACUUCAGAACUCCACGUCUGUCACAGGAAAAUGCUCUGAGGGAUGUUACUGCACACAUGGGAACAUCUCACCUCAACCUCACACACAGUCUGCAGGUAAAUGUAGCCAGAGAAUUUUAAAGAUAGACAUUUGAGAUAUUGCAUAAAAGAUUCUGGAUGGAAGCACUAAGAUGCAAAUACUAAAUAUAUAUUACAUUUUUUUUUUUUUUUUUUUUUUUUUUCCUGAGAAAGAAACAUUAAAUUGUUUUUGCUUUAUAUUAAGGUAAGUUGUAUAUAUUAUUUAUAUUAUGAAAAAAAAUGAUAAAACGUUUUGAUGAUAAAUGUUGAUAAUUAAUAUGUAUACGUGUACUCCCCAACAGCCCAAUCAACGAUCACAGCGGAGGACCGUGUCCGACAGGUAAUUGACAGAUCCCCCAAUUCAACACAGAUUAAAACACCCACCUUCCCCUCAAACCGGCCCACCUCAUCCUGUUUUCCGCUCCCGCACAGGUUAUUUUUGCUUUAGAGGCUCAGGCACUCCUCAAGUCUGUCCAGAAGGAUCCUUCAGCAGUAGAGAGAGACAGGCCAGCUGCAGCCUGUGUCCCCAAGGGUAGAUACACUUACACAUACACAAGAAUGUUAAACAUUUAAAGGUGAAGAGUAUCAUUUUUUCAUGUUCAAUAUGGUAUCCCAGGUUGUGCAAAGACAGCUAGAAGUGUGACAAUUACACAUUAUUGCUCCGAAAACUCUGUUAUGCUUUCAAAACAUUACAACAAAUCUGACAGAGUAACAGUAACAAUAGAGUGCAACAGGUGGUUUUCAGAAGUAAAAAUCCCAUUCAUUUUCUUCAGUGGGGAACUGCUUUUGAGCAAUAACUUAUGAACCUUUAAAGUGAGCUACGAAAUUUUAAAUUUGAUUGUCAUUUGCAAUGCUUCAUGGGAUUGUAGUUCUUUCCCUCAUUUAAGUUGUUAAGUACACAGUCUUGUACCUUUAUCUUUUUGUCAAAAUUUAUUUAUUUUUUCUUCAAAUUGAAGUUUGUAAUGUUGUGAUUCAUCUCAUAUCUGGUUUAUUUGGUUCAUAACCCUUUAACGAAGACAUUUUUAAAAUAAAAAAUAAAUAAAAUUGGGUGGGCA